Non-coding RNA from Procambarus clarkii (red swamp crayfish), 383 nucleotides. The record is from RefSeq and is a predicted model, not a curated record. Lineage: Eukaryota; Metazoa; Arthropoda; Malacostraca; Decapoda; Cambaridae.
CUGGUGAAAGAACACCUGAAGGUAAGAGAAUUAAUGUUUGAAAACCCUAGAGAUAUUGACAUAAUGGCAUUGCAGCUCUGUAAUCAAGAUGAUAAGCUGAUAAUUUUAAAUGCCUGCAGCCCACCAGCAAGCAACACAUGGACAAAGGAAGAACUGGAUGACAAACGUGAGGGUCUCAUAAUGGUCAUGAGAGAGAUUAUGGUAAGAGCUAACAAAGAUAAAUCCCGAUUGUUGGUACUGAAGGGACUUUAACUUUAAGGCAACAGACUGGGAGGCCUACGAGGCAAGAACAGAGGACAUUUGGACAGGCAGAUUUGUAAACCUCAUCUUGGAGACAUUCAUGUAUCAACACGUCAAGCAGGCCACAAGAAUGAGGGAAGAGG